Molecule: long non-coding RNA, 708 nt
Organism: Anolis carolinensis (green anole)
Lineage: Eukaryota; Metazoa; Chordata; Lepidosauria; Squamata; Anolidae
Exons: 3
Source: RefSeq, a predicted model, not a curated record
UACACCACAGGAGUACUUCAGCAAAUGGGGAUUUAAUUUUUAAUCUUGUUUUUUUCUCACUCUGCAGCUGCAACCUGAAGUGCUCUCUACAUAGACUGCAGGAGGGCUUGAAGGGUUCACCUUCAGCUCCCCUUCUUGCUGAAAUGGUCUUCUUUCAUGAUGGUCAACCGAAUCCUCCUCCAAUGCAGCAAAAUGGGAGCUGGAAGACUCUACUGUCCCUCAGACUGAAGUGGAGGAAGAAUUGACUAUUUAUCAGGCUGAACUAUUGGAGGAAGACCCAGCUGUGACAAGUUUUCUUUGUCUUCUGAGGAAGAGGAUCUCUUUGAAUGUUUGUUUGGUGGCAAGAAGGCAAAAGGUUUUCUUUGGGUUGCUCCCAGAAUUUUGAACUUUCUUCUUCGGGAUGCCAGGACAGCUCUUUGCUUGUAGUCUCUUUGGCAGCAAUUGAAAACAUUUUUAUUUUAUCAGGCUUUUACGAACUGACUUUUGGAAAUUACUGGUAUACUACACUGUUUUGUUAAAUUUUAUAUUGUCUUUUAAUAGACACUGAAUGAUUGUAACUCCAUUUAAUUGCUUUCAAAAUAGUGUAUGAUGUGCAUGAUGCUUUUGUGAGGUUUUAUUUUGUAUUGGUUUUAAUCAUUUGUGUGCUGCCUUGCAUCUCAUUACUGGAAGAAGUCAAAAUAUAAAAGAAUAAAAUCAUCAUUGUUAUUA